CCUACGGGUGGCAGCAGUGGGGGAUAUUGCACAAUGGGGGAAACCCUGAUGCAGCGACGCCGCGUGUGGGAAGACGGUCUUCUGGAUUGUAAACCACUGUCCCCAGGGACGAAAAUGACGGUACCUGGGGAGGAAGCUCCGGCGAACUACGUGCCAGCAGCCGCGGUAAGACGUAGGGAGCAAGCGUUGUCCGGAAUUACUGGGUGUAAAGGGAGCGUAGGCGGGGAUGCAAGUUGGGUGUCAAAACGAUCGGCUCAACCGAUAGUCGCACUCAAAACUGCAGCUCUUGAGUGAAGUAGAGGCAGGCGGAAUUCGUAGUGUAGCGGUGAAAUGCGUAGAUAUCAGGAGGAACACCAGUGGCGAAGGCGGCCUGCCGGGGUUUUACUGACGCUGAGGCUCGAAAGUGUGGGGAGCGAACAGGAUUAGAGACCCCAGUAGUC
This 440-nucleotide ribosomal RNA is filed under the name uncultured bacterium. RNAcentral describes it as "partial 16S ribosomal RNA". It matches the Rfam family "Bacterial small subunit ribosomal RNA", at positions 338 to 795 of the family's 1533-position model. The record is from RNAcentral.